This 330-nucleotide unclassified non-coding RNA is filed under the name soil metagenome. RNAcentral describes it as "partial contains 5.8S ribosomal RNA, internal transcribed spacer 2, and large subunit ribosomal RNA". The stretch from base 1 to 120 matches the Rfam family "5.8S ribosomal RNA", at positions 35 to 154 of the family's 154-position model. The record is from RNAcentral.
GAUGAAGAACGUAGCGAAAUGCGAUAAGUAGUGUGAAUUGCAGAAUUCAGUGAAUCAUCGAAUCUUUGAACGCACAUUGCGCCCCUUGGUAUCCCGAGGGGCAUGCCUGUUCGAGCGUCAUUUCACCACUCAAGCCUGGCUUGGUGUUGGGCGACGUCCCCUUUGGGGACGCGCCUCGAAACGCUCGGCGGCGUGGCACCGGCUUUAAGCGUAGCAGAAUCUUUCGCUUUGGAAGUCGGGGCCCCGUCUGCCGGAAGACCUACUCGCAAGGUUGACCUCGGAUCAGGCAGGGAUACCCGCUGAACUUAAGCAUAUCAAUAAGCCGGAGGA